UCCUUUCUCUGGAGAUUAAUAUUGCUGUG
This 29-nucleotide non-coding RNA is filed under the name Rattus norvegicus (Norway rat). Lineage: Eukaryota; Metazoa; Chordata; Mammalia; Rodentia; Muridae. The record is from RNAcentral.